Molecule: ribosomal RNA, 155 nt
Filed under: Megaceros sp. Cargill 2527
Lineage: Eukaryota; Viridiplantae; Streptophyta; Anthocerotopsida; Dendrocerotales; Dendrocerotaceae
Description: 5.8S ribosomal RNA
Rfam family: 5.8S ribosomal RNA
About the family: 5.8S ribosomal RNA (5.8S rRNA) is a component of the large subunit of the eukaryotic ribosome.
Source: RNAcentral
UCAUUYUCACCAACGGAUUUUUUGUUUCUUGCAACAAUAAAGAACGCAACGAAAUGCGAUACUGAGGGUGAAUUGAGAAAUUCCACGAAUCAUCGAGUUUUUGAACGCAAGUUGCGCCCGAGGUUUAGUGCCGAGGGCAUGCCUGCCUGACCGUC